Long non-coding RNA from Drosophila busckii, 606 nucleotides. RefSeq lists it as uncharacterized. Lineage: Eukaryota; Metazoa; Arthropoda; Insecta; Diptera; Drosophilidae. The transcript is spliced from 3 exons. The record is from RefSeq and is a predicted model, not a curated record.
CACAUUACUUCGUUGAGUAAACUGUCAUAGCUUGAAUUUCUACUUUACAGCUUUAUAAUUCUAUUGCUCAUCAUCAUGUUUUUAAAAAAGUUUUGCUUCUGCAUUUCACUGCGAAAUGGCUGCUAUUUACUUGGUUAUUUCUUAAUAGUUGAAGGCUUUUCAAAUACAAUUACUAUUAUGUUAAAAUUCGGUCAUUCGUGCAAGCGAAUGUUAACGAUUUGGUUCGUACAAAGCCAACUGGGUAUUAUAGCUGGAAUUUUGUUGUUGGCUGCAGCAUCAAAUCCUACAAAUUUGAGCUUUUUGAUGCCCGUACAAAUUGUUGUCAAUUUAUCAAGCUUGAUUAUUGAAAUGAUUUAUUUUUUGCUGCUAACAAGCGUAUACGUAAACUUAACUAAGCUAACAAUUUUGUACUCAGUUUAUGCAAUUUUUCGCACUGUCUAUUGUACUGUUGUUGUUUUCUCCUAUUUUCAAAAGUUGGAAUAUAGUGGCGACGACUAAGCCAAGUUGCUGGCGCUGCGGCUGCUUAUCGUUCAACGGUAGUUACUGGAGCGGUCUUAAAAUCACAGCAUGUAGCAUUUUGUGCCAUGAUUAAACAGAAAAUUUAUU